Molecule: long non-coding RNA, 122 nt
Organism: Etheostoma cragini (Arkansas darter)
Lineage: Eukaryota; Metazoa; Chordata; Actinopteri; Perciformes; Percidae
Exons: 3
Source: RefSeq, a predicted model, not a curated record
GUAUGCUUACUGUAUACCAGGCUAUUUAGAAAUUUAGAAAGGAUUUUCAAUACGGUCUAAUAUACAAAGGCUCCUCUUUCUAUUAAACUGAUACAGAGAUGCUAUAUUGAGGUAAUUUAUUU